Molecule: ribosomal RNA, 882 nt
Filed under: Mucoromycotina sp. MIB 8846
Lineage: Eukaryota; Fungi; Mucoromycota; Endogonomycetes; Endogonales; Densosporaceae
Description: SSU rRNA
Rfam family: Eukaryotic small subunit ribosomal RNA
Source: RNAcentral
GUAGUUGAAUUUUAGCCCUGGCUGGGUGGUCCACCUUUGGCUGGUACUGCCCUGGCCGGGGCUCACCUUCUGGCGAUCCGCCAUGUCCUUCGCUGGAUGUGACGGGGAACCAGGACUUUUACUUUGAAAAAAUUAGAGUGUUCAAAGCAGGCAUUUGCUUGAAUAGAUUAGCAUGGAAUAAUGGAAUAGGACCUUGGUUCUAUUUUGUUGGUUUCUAGGACCUCGGUAAUGAUUAAUAGGGAUAGUUGGGGGCAUUAGUAUUUAGUAGCUAGAGGUGAAAUUCUUGGAUUUACAAAAGACUAACUUCUGCGAAAGCAUUUGCCAAGGAUGUUUUCAUUAAUCAAGAACGAAAGUUAGGGGAUCGAAGACGAUCGGAUACCGUCGUAGUCUUAACCAUAAACUAUGCCGACUAGGGAUCGGACGAUGUUACUUUACUGACUCGUUCGGCACCUUAUGAGAAAUCAAAGUUUUUGGGUUCCGGGGGGAGUAUGGUCGCAAGGCUGAAACUUAAAGGAAUUGACGGAAGGGCACCACCAGGAGUGGAGCCUGCGGCUUAAUUUGACUCAACACGGGGAAACUCACCAGGUCCAGACAUAGUAAGGAUUGACAGAUUGAGAGCUCUUUCUUGAUUCUAUGGGUGGUGGUGCAUGGCCGUUCUUAGUUGGUGGAGUGAUUUGUCUGCUUAAUUGCGAUAACGAACGAGACCUUAACCUGCUAAAUAGUUAUGCCGACUCCUGUCGGCAGACAACUUCUUAGAGGGACUGUCAACGAUUAGUUGACGGAAGUUUGAGGCAAUAACAGGUCUGUGAUGCCCUUAGAUGUCCUGGGCCGCACGCGCGCUACACUGAUGAAGUCAACGAGUCUAUAACCUGGCCGGAAGGU